Liolophura sinensis is the source of this 1167-nucleotide long non-coding RNA. RefSeq lists it as uncharacterized. The transcript has 4 exons. The record is from RefSeq and is a predicted model, not a curated record. NCBI's taxonomy places the organism in Eukaryota, Metazoa, Mollusca, Polyplacophora, Chitonida, Chitonidae.
UAUAUCUGUACCCAUGUGGUCGUUGUGCUUCAACGAAUAGCGGAGUAUUUCGCCUUAUGCGGGAUAAAACGACAUACAGCCACGACCCUGGUGCAUGUGGUACUAUUGGAUCAGUCCAUACUGUGAACAAUAACACAUGAUGAAAGAAAUAUCGGACGUUUAGCCAGUUCAUCCCCGCAUGGAGCGAUGUCACAGUGCUUUAUGUUGCUAAUAAUUCCAUCUACCAACAGCAUCGUUCAUUAAUGGAACAAUAAAGAGGAAGAGCUGAAAGGAAAUUAGGAGACAAUUAAUUUCAGAUCGAUCCAAAAUGUGGACAAUACGGAAAAGAGAGAUGCUGAUGGUGACACUGUUGAUCGGCUGGGGUUUGUUCCUCUUUCUGUACUUGUGCAACCUUAGCUGGGGUCAUUAUGUCAUCACAUUUGACCGAAAAAAUAUGGACGUCAUUAUCCAUCGAGAUAUAUCUCCUGAUGGCAAGAAAUCAGCCGAGUGAAGCCAAGAAGCAACGUUAAAUAACAAUUCAUGAAGCAAUCACAUGGACGAUCUUCUGUAUAGGCCUACUGACCGCGUUACAGAAUGCCAGCAACAAACCUACCAUGUGUAUACACCAUAUAUGGACGCUUGCGUUAAAAAAAAGACUUUGUUCCAAGGCUGGCCCUUCCAAGAACUUGUCUGACAAGGAAGCGAAAGGUGCAAAUAUGCAAACAACGCAAAGGUUGAGCUCUACACCAACAGACAAAUGAAAUCAACAAGAAAUUAUCUCAGCAACUGGGUGUUUUCAGUAUACAGUCAAACCUGUCGCAUGUGGUCAGUAAAGGGAAACGAAAAAAGUGGCCACUAAAGACAGAUGGCCGCAUAGGGCAGGUUGACUGUUAUACAUAUCUUUCUUCAUUCCUUUUAUUUACUUUUAAGACUUGAAAAUUUUACUUGAAACCAGAAUGUAGGCCUGCUUGAGUUUACGGUGAGAGUAUUGUGAUGCCGAAACAAGCCAACAGAAAGUUAACUUUGAAACUAUUGUUUUCUGUUUUUGACGUGUGUGAUAGCUCUCUGUAUGCAUGGCAUUGACCGUGCCGGGGAUGGACCCAAACUCCGUCUUACCGCCUCCUGUUCUUUAGGAUCUUAUUCUUCAAAAGACCUAUAGUUUUUGAGUGGACGCGUUUUUAUUAAAAA